GAUGAAGAACGCAGCGAAAUGCGAUAAGUAAUGCGAAUUGCAGAAUUCCGUGAGUCAUCGAAUCUUUGAACGCACAUUGCGCCCCCUGGUAUUCCGGAGGGCAUGUCUGUCCGAGCGUCAUUAGUCCAAUCUCAAGCCCGGCUUGUCGUUGGGUCGCACCGCCCGGGGCGGUGGACCCGAAAUAUAAUGACGGGGUCUAGCGGACCGUGGGCGCAGCGAGCUUUUACAGCACGCGUCCCGGCGUCAUCUAGACGCGUCUCCAACCAUACUCUCUGUAGGUUGACCUCGGAUCAGACAGGAUUACCCGCUGAACUUAAGCAUAUCAAUAAGCGGAGGA
RNAcentral lists this unclassified non-coding RNA (337 nucleotides) under soil metagenome. Its description in RNAcentral is "partial contains 5.8S ribosomal RNA, internal transcribed spacer 2, and large subunit ribosomal RNA". The stretch from base 1 to 120 matches the Rfam family "5.8S ribosomal RNA", at positions 35 to 154 of the family's 154-position model. The record is from RNAcentral.